UACAAAGCUGUCCAAGCGCCUUUGCCACCGAACGAGUCUGUGGUCUUUUGGGCAGUUUGACUGAGGUCGGCUGGGCCAGCUACCUGGCCAGAGCCAGGACAACGUAUGGGCCCACACAGCCAAUAACAGGUGUCCUUUUAUCAGAGCUCCCCGCGAUCAUGGAAGGGUGGAGCGAUGGCUCUGGUAUCUGCCCAUCUCCAGCUAACACUGAAACCCCUGCCUGGAUUCCCCUGCACAGGAGGUGCUGGCUGUCAGUCCCCUGGUGGGUCUGCAGCGAUCGGCCUAGACCACAAGAUGGAGGGCACAGCGCGGUGCCAUGAAAUGCAGCCAACAGGGUUAGUCCUGAGAGGGGCUGGGCACCUGCAGCUCCCACUGGUUCCCGAGGGAGAUGCAGGAACUCAGCACUGCUCAGAAUUGGCCCAAUGUGAUGCAGGUGGAACAUUCCACCGUAGGGGUGGGGACCGAGUCAAACACAGAGGUGGAGACAGGCAGGGGAAGGGAACUAUGACAUAAGCUUUCAUAGGUGAGGGCUACAUAGUCCCACUCCAUCCAAAUCACAGGGAAAGGAGCCGUUCGUGACCCUGGAACUCACUGUCACAGACAGAGCCCCAGCUGGUGACUCUAGAUCUGAAGUGUAAUUUGACUCAUGUGAGAGUUCAGAGCCAGCCAGUGCCUUCCCCCUACAGCUCCCCAGUGGGACGUGGGGCAGGUCUCUUUGCCCAGAUGAGGAGGUGGUGACGAUGACCCGCGACUCUGUUGUGAUGCAGUGAUUGUUGGGUCGGCCACCAGGGGCUGCAGCAUUUCACACCAGGAUGUCGCCCAGAGCACAUGGCUGCUCCCUGUGGGUCUGAGUACAGGGACCAGGGUGACGGAGUAGGGCCUUGUGGGACCAACCUGCUUCCAUUGCUAAAGAAGGGAAUGUGAGACACAGAAGGAUGAAGGAAAGAAUUCUUGUAAGGAGGAAGGAAACAAGGCAGGGAAAAGACUGGGAGGGAGGGGAAAUGAGGCAUCAGAUGGCGGGCGGGGGGAAUGAAGAAGUUAGUGAGAAACACCAGGGAACUGAGGAAGGGACAGAGAAGAAAGAGGGAAGGGAAAUGGGUGAGGAGAGAGACAUGAAAAAGGAAUGGGCAAAGAGGCUACAAGAGAAGAGAAAGGAGAAGCACAGAGGAAGUGGAUGGGGGUAAGAACCAGGACGGUUUUCUUUAGCUUCAGGUAGAAUCCUGAUUGCCUUUGUCAAGACGUAGGCAAAGCAGCCAGGUGUAAUGACUAGGGGUAAUAAUGGAGGCAUUUGUACAAUUCAGGAAGGAAAGGGUACAAGUGGCCAUAGCUGAGAGGUGACAUCAGCAUGGUUCUCACCUUUCAAGAGACGACAUUGCAGUUGGUCUGAUUUCCGUUGAUUGGUUCAUUGCAGCUCGUCUGUCAGAAGUUCUUAUUGUACCACUUUAGUAGUCAGAGAAACUGUUCCUAUCAAAAGGUAAGGAAUGCACUUUCUCCUAGCAAUGGAGUGGAAACUAACCAAUCUGAGUGUACUUUCAGGUGAAGGAAGUGAAUCUAUCCUUUGCUGUCAAAGGCUACAAGCAGUUUUGUCAGAAUAAAGCAAUAUACAUAACCAAAGCUUCCGAGAGGUUACAGAAAUAUCUACUUGUUCUACUCAAGAAUAAGGAAGCCACUUAUACCUACUAGAUUGCUAAAAAAACAGCUGAUUGUAUGGAGAGGAACAAGAUAAACCAAUACAGGAAUUCAUCCCACAGAAGAAGGUCAUAUUUUGAGAUACAAGGAUGACAGAUGGCUGUAGGAUACAGGAAUGAAUUAGCGGAUCCAUCCUUUUAGGGAGGUAAGAUAUAGAAUACACCCUUACCAUAAUAGUCAAUGGUUCUGGUCAUACUUUCAGGUGGAAGAAAUGUAAUGGAUAAAAUCAUCACCUCUCUAAAGAGCACAAGAAGUUGCUGUACUGAAUAAAGCAAUAAAAAAUUGGGAGUUACCUGUUCAGAGGUAAGGAAAGUCAGUAAUUCUAACCAAUGAUCAUGACAUCUACUCCUUUCUCCUUCCCGGCUAAUGGUUGGUUGUUCCUACAAGGAUGUAUCACAGAAAAAAUGCAACUAACCAGAAUGUGAAGAUGAGCAUUUAACCUGCUCUUACAUUUGCAGAGAUGAGUUGUCCAGCUGAUUCUCUUUGUGCAGAAUUGAUCAUUGUUGCUUAUUUAUCAAAUGUCAAGAAGAAAUCAGUGGAAUUGAUCAUUUCUAUCAAGAGGUAAGGAAUGCACCUCCUCUCAGCACAGGGGCAGGAAUAACAGACUCUGUUUCUAUUUUCAGGUGAAAUAAAGGUCUGACCAUUGCAGGGGGGAAGGGGAGAAGAUAAGAGGCUGCUGAAUUUAAUAAUAGUCAGACAGGUAACAAUACCUGGCCAGGGGGAAGAAAAGCAUCUUUUACUUCUAGUUCAGAAAGAGGAAAGCAGCCAAUUAUAUGCUUCAAGUUGUAACCAGUGUAGUUGGCUGUACCUCUAAGAAUCAAAGCUUUGUGGUGCAACAUCACUGAGAAGUAAGUGAGCACUGGGAAGUCUGUAGAAGCCUAAUGAUCUGGAUGCUAAGGAAACAUUUCUAUUGAUGACUCUUCAUAACUGGUAAUGAGAAAUAAUAAUAAAUAGUUGUCAGGUUUUGCUAACUGGAGAUGUGAACAGACCAGGUGGCCAUUCCUGCCAGGGAGAAGUAAGGGUAAGUGGCUGUCCCGGGCAAGGAGGUAAGAAAUACCAGUCUCCAAACAUCCAUGUGUAUAUCAAGUGGUGUGGAGUUUACUUUCAGGGAGAACUGUGGAGGACCUUACUUGUCAUGGGAGAGUGUGAAAAGCAGAGGCAAGACAAAGCAACAUGGACUUGCCAGCUGCUGAAUCCAUGGAGGACUCCAAUGAGAAGAUGCUGUUAUUUCAAGGAGCAACAAACAGAAAACAGAAGAGUCAUUUCAAAUAGUUCAGCUAGUUGCAAAUCUGAAUAUGAAGCAAGUCAGCAGACGUGGAGAUGAGAGAAAUGCAGCUGAUUUGAACUUUGAGGGUGUGAAAACUUCAGGAAGUUCCUAGAAGAUCUGUGAUAUCUAUAGGAAGGAAACCAGUGAAACUCAUCACUGCUGCCAAGAGGUAAGGAACUCACCUCACAAUGGAGAAACUAAUGGAUCUGGUUUCUCUUCAGGUGAAAGAAAUGCAGCUGAUCUGAUCUGCUUGGGGUUGAGGACUAUAAGCAGUCAUAUUACUUAAGAAUAAAGGAACAUGUUCCCAGACUUGCAGAGAGGAAAAAAAGUUGCCUUCCUUGACUGGAAUGGGAAGACAAUCCCUUAUCACCAUCAAGUUUCAAACCCCAAUGCAGGAGACCAUCACUGACAGAGGAGAAGAGUUACAGACACUCAGAAUUUGAGCACAAAGGAAUAGUAAUGGAGCUGAACAGAUCCAACACCUGAAAGGACAAUUGGAUCUCAUAAAAUAUGAGACCAUGAAAGAGACCCUUCAUUCAAUAAAGCAACAGAAUUAGCUCUGAGGAGAGGCAAGAAGCAUUUGUUAAGUCUACCAAAUGAGCAUACAAUCAACUCUACAAAAUUGCUAACUUAUGUUGUGUCAAAGAGUUUGUUACAGAUGAUCAUACAUCUCAGGAUCUAAGAGUUGCUCAGGGGCAUGGCAGACCUCUGGGGAUUCAUCUUUAUCAGGAGGUGAUGAAUCUGCUUGUCAGUGGCUUUGGUUAGACUUUCAAAUGAAGGAAACACAGUCAGUGGGGUCAGUAUUCAAGAAACAAUGUUGAAAAGUUGCCUGGGGUCACCUCUUGGGCUAAGGGGAGCAGCUGGUCCCAUCUGCUGGGAUGGAAGCAAAGAAGAAAGCACUGGCCACUGGUUAGUACUGGGACACAGGAUAUUGGACGGGCCUGGGACAGGGUAUGUAACUAUAGUGACCACUGGGUCCUUUCCCCACUGUGGUCCUGGCUCGCAUGCACAGGGUGAAACUGAUCGCCAUGUUUGGGGUCAGGAAGGAAUUUUCCUCCAGAGCAGAUUGGCCAGAG
This is a long non-coding RNA of Dermochelys coriacea (leatherback sea turtle), 4032 nucleotides long. RefSeq lists it as uncharacterized. The transcript is spliced from 4 exons. NCBI's taxonomy places the organism in Eukaryota, Metazoa, Chordata, Testudines, Dermochelyidae. The record is from RefSeq and is a predicted model, not a curated record.